Molecule: transfer RNA, 90 nt
Filed under: Leptothrix sp. (in: b-proteobacteria)
Lineage: Bacteria; Pseudomonadati; Pseudomonadota; Betaproteobacteria; Burkholderiales; Sphaerotilaceae
Description: tRNA-Leu
Rfam family: tRNA
About the family: Transfer RNA (tRNA) molecules are approximately 80 nucleotides in length. Their secondary structure includes four short double-helical elements and three loops (D, anti-codon, and T loops). Further hydrogen bonds mediate the characteristic L-shaped molecular structure. tRNAs have two regions of fundamental functional importance: the anti-codon, which is responsible for specific mRNA codon recognition, and the 3' end, to which the tRNAs corresponding amino acid is attached (by aminoacyl-tRNA synthetases). tRNAs cope with the degeneracy of the genetic code in two manners: having more than one tRNA (with a specific anti-codon) for a particular amino acid; and 'wobble' base-pairing, i.e. permitting non-standard base-pairing at the 3rd anti-codon position.
Source: RNAcentral
GCCCGGAUGGUGAAACUGGUAGACACAGCGGACUUAAAAUCCGCCGCCCCUCAACCGGGCGUACGGGUUCGAUUCCCGUUCCGGGCACCA